This 270-nucleotide unclassified non-coding RNA is filed under the name Hevea brasiliensis (rubber tree). Lineage: Eukaryota; Viridiplantae; Streptophyta; Magnoliopsida; Malpighiales; Euphorbiaceae. The record is from RNAcentral.
AAAUAGAAAAAGAAAAAGAAAAUGUGUCCUCAACUAACUCGUGAAUGAACACAUAUAAUUAUGGAUUUUUUAAAACACAAAAGAAAAAGAAAACGUGUCCACGACUAUUUUAGAUAUAUUGGCUGCGUCGAUCAGUAUUUGCAUAAUCAUCAAAAAGGAAAAUAAACAGAGCAUCCCCAUUUCCAUUUGGGCUAAUAACAUAGCAAUUACAAGACCAAAAUUACAGAAAACAGACAACACAAUCAGCUCUCAAGACAGCAAAAGAAAGCA